RNAcentral lists this ribosomal RNA (502 nucleotides) under uncultured bacterium. RNAcentral describes it as "partial 16S ribosomal RNA". It matches the Rfam family "Bacterial small subunit ribosomal RNA", at positions 899 to 1397 of the family's 1533-position model. The record is from RNAcentral.
ACUCAAAUGAAUUGACGGGGGCCCGCACAAGCGGUGGAGCAUGUUGUUUAAUACGUCACUAACCGUAGAACCUUACCAGGGUUUGACAUGGCGAGACAUCCUAUGAAAGUAGGCUUCCCCGCAAGGGGACUCGCACACAGGUGUUGCAUGGCUGUCGUCAGCUCGUGUCGUGAGAUGUUGGGUUAAGUCCCGCAACGAGCGCAACCCUCAUCCCAUGUUGCCAGCGAGUAAAGUCGGGAACUCUUGGGAAACUGCCGGGGUAACUCGGAGGAAGGUGAGGAUGACGUCAAGUCAGCAUGGCCCUUACAUCCUGGGCUACAAACAUGCUACAAUGGACGGUAAACAGAGGGAUCCGAGACCGCGAGGUGGAGGCAAUCUCAGAAAUCCGUUCUCAGUUCGGAUUGCAGGCUGCAACUCGCCUGCAUGAAGCCGGAAUCGCUAGUAAACGCAGGUCAGCUAAACUGCGUUGAAUACGUUCCCGGGCCUUGUACACACCGCCCGU